Molecule: ribosomal RNA, 254 nt
Filed under: uncultured bacterium
Lineage: Bacteria
Description: partial 16S ribosomal RNA
Rfam family: Bacterial small subunit ribosomal RNA
Source: RNAcentral
CACGUAGGGGGCAAGCGUUGUCCGGAUUUAUUGGGCGUAAAGAGCUCGUAGGUGGUUCGGUAAGUCGGGUGUGAAAACUCUGGGCUCAACCCAGAGACGCCACCCGAUACUGCCGUGACUUGAGUCUGGUAGGGGAGUGUGGAAUUCCUAGUGUAGCGGUGAAAUGCGCAGAUAUUAGGAAGAACACCCGUGGCGAAGGCGGUUCUCUGGGACGGUACUGACGCUGAGGAGCGAAAGCGUGGGGAGCGAACAGG